Picea glauca (white spruce) is the source of this 121-nucleotide non-coding RNA. NCBI's taxonomy places the organism in Eukaryota, Viridiplantae, Streptophyta, Pinopsida, Pinales, Pinaceae. The record is from Rfam.
GUACAUGCCUACAACAUAGUGUUAAUGCACAAGUUCCCUUUAAAACUCUGCAGUUAAGCACGCUCGCGUUAGAGUAGUAGUGGGAUGGGUGCUUGCCCGAGAAGUCCUGGUGUCUUACAUG